GCAAGUCGAGCGAUCCCUUCGGGGAGGAGCGGCGGACGGGUUAGUAACGCGUGGGAACAUACCCUUUUCUAUGGAAUAGCCUUUGGAAACGAAGAGUAAUACCAUAUACGCCCUUCGGGGGAAAGAUUUAUCGGAAUUGGAUUAGCCCGCGUUAGAUUAGAUAGUUGGUGGGGUAAUGGCCUACCAAGUCUACGAUCUAUAGCUGGUUUGAGAGGAUGAUC
RNAcentral lists this ribosomal RNA (221 nucleotides) under uncultured bacterium. RNAcentral describes it as "partial 16S ribosomal RNA". It matches the Rfam family "Bacterial small subunit ribosomal RNA", at positions 57 to 305 of the family's 1533-position model. The record is from RNAcentral.